Molecule: ribosomal RNA, 399 nt
Filed under: uncultured bacterium
Lineage: Bacteria
Description: bacterial SSU rRNA
Rfam family: Bacterial small subunit ribosomal RNA
Source: RNAcentral
AGCGAACGUUAGCGGCGGGCUUAACACAUGCAAGUCGAGCGAGAAAGGGACUUCGGUCCUGAGUAAAGCGGCGGACGGGUGAGUAACACGUAGGUAAUCUUCCCUUGAGCGGGGGACAACGGUCCGAAAGGACCGCUAAUACCGCAUACGUUUCCAGGGACUCUGGUCUUUGGAAGGAAAGCUGGGCCGCAAGGUCCGGCACUCGAGGAGGAGCCUGCGUCGCAUCAGCUAGUUGGUGGGGUAAUGGCCACCAAGGCGAAGACGCGUAGCUGGUCUGAGAGGAUGAUCAGCCACACUGGGACUGAGACACGGCCCAGACUCCUACGGGAGGCAGCAGUGGGGAAUAUUGGACAAUGGGCGCAAGCCUGAUCCAGCCACGCCGCGUGAGUGAUGAAGGCC